UACGUAGGGGGCUAGCGUUGUCCGGAAUCAUUGGGCGUAAAGAGCGUGUAGGCGGCCCGGUAAGUCCGCUGUAAAAGUCAAAGGCUCAACCUUUGAAUGUCAGUGGAUACUGCCGGGCUAGAGUCCGGAAGAGGCGAGUGGAACUCCUGGUGUAGCGGUGGAAUGCGCAGAUAUCAGGAAGAACACCGACGGCGAAGGCAGCUCGCUAGGACGGUACUGACGCUGAGACGCGAAAGCGUGGGGAGCAAACAGG
RNAcentral lists this ribosomal RNA (253 nucleotides) under uncultured bacterium. RNAcentral's name for it is "partial 16S ribosomal RNA". It matches the Rfam family "Bacterial small subunit ribosomal RNA", at positions 524 to 776 of the family's 1533-position model. The record is from RNAcentral.